RNAcentral lists this ribosomal RNA (466 nucleotides) under uncultured bacterium. Its description in RNAcentral is "SSU rRNA". It matches the Rfam family "Bacterial small subunit ribosomal RNA", at positions 26 to 518 of the family's 1533-position model. The record is from RNAcentral.
AGGAUAAACGCUGGCGGCGUGCCUAAUCAAUGCGAGUCGCACGGCCUUUCGGGGCAGUGGCGUCCGGGUGAGUAACGCGUAGCUAACCUGCCUCCGAGUGGGGGAUACCCGUCAGAAAUGGCGGCUAAUACCGCAUAGCGUGAUCCGCCUAAAGGUGGAGCACGAAAGCAGCAAUGCGCUGGGAGAGGGGGCGUGCGUCUGAUUAGCUAGUCGGUGGGGUAACGGCCUGCCGAGGCGACGAUCAGUAGCUGGUCUGAGAGGAUGGUCAGCCACACUGGGACUGAGACAUGGUCCAGAGCUCUACGGGGGUUUAGCAUGAAGGGAUAUUGCGCAAUGGGCGAAAGCCUGACGCAGCAACGCCGCGUGUGGGACGACGCCUCUCGGGGUGUAAACCACUUUUCCCAGGGAAGAAGGAUGUGACGGUACCUGGGGAAUAAGCCUUGGCUAAGUACGUGCCAGCAGCCGC